Molecule: non-coding RNA, 30 nt
Filed under: Rattus norvegicus (Norway rat)
Lineage: Eukaryota; Metazoa; Chordata; Mammalia; Rodentia; Muridae
Source: RNAcentral
UGUGCUGUAUGGCCCUAUAAAAUCCCUGAA